CCUACGGGGGGCUGCAGUAAGGAAUAUUGGACAAUGGACGGAAGUCUGAUCCAGCCAUGCCGCGUGCAGGAUGAAGGCGCUCAGCGUUGUAAACUGCUUUUGGAUGGGAAUAAUAACCUCGACGUGUUCGGGGCUUGAAGGUACCAUCAGAAUAAGCACCGGCUAACUCCGUGCCAGCAGCCGCGGUAAUACGGAGGGUGCAAGCGUUAUCCGGAAUCACUGGGUUUAAAGGGUGCGUAGGCGGCGCGAUAAGUCAGUUGUGAAAUUCCCCGGCUUAACCGGCGGAACUGCGAUUGAUACUGUCGUGCUUGAAUCAGGUUGAGGUAGGCGGAAUGUGGCAUGUAGCGGUGAAAUGCUUAGAUAUGCCAUAGAACACCGAUUGCGAAGGCAGCUUGCUGGACCUUGAUUGACGCUGAGGCACGAAAGCGUGGGGAGCAAACAGGAUUAGAUACCCCGGUAGUC
RNAcentral lists this ribosomal RNA (462 nucleotides) under uncultured Saprospiraceae bacterium. RNAcentral describes it as "bacterial SSU rRNA". It matches the Rfam family "Bacterial small subunit ribosomal RNA", at positions 338 to 795 of the family's 1533-position model. The record is from RNAcentral. Lineage: Bacteria; Pseudomonadati; Bacteroidota; Saprospiria; Saprospirales; Saprospiraceae.